UGGGUUGCUUCCUGGGGGAUGCUGUAUUGCCAGAGAACCCUUCACCAGCUGGAUAGAAACAAGCCUUGCAGUAUGACUGAGAAACUGAAGCAGAAGCAAGAACAUGCUACCACAUCCCUGUUUUAACAGUGUGGAAAGCAAGAUGCUGUUUGUGCUACUUAGAAUUAGGGUUGUGUAUCAAGAGAAGGUUCUUCUCUUGUGAAACCCGGUCUAGCUGUUCAUCCACUUGUAUCAGGAGGUUCUGUAAAAGGAUGGUUGCCAUUGCUUCGUUGUUGGAUGCAGCCUCCCUUGAGAACAGAUGAACGAGAAACAUUUUUAAAAUGUCGUAAGUGCCAAACUGUCUGUACAGAAAUUUACAAUCCAUUGAGAAAUAAAGGCAGUAAGAAGCUCGA
Lagopus leucura (white-tailed ptarmigan) is the source of this 392-nucleotide long non-coding RNA. RefSeq lists it as uncharacterized. NCBI's taxonomy places the organism in Eukaryota, Metazoa, Chordata, Aves, Galliformes, Phasianidae. The record is from RefSeq and is a predicted model, not a curated record. The transcript has 3 exons.